GCGGCGUGCUUAACACAUGCAAGUCGAACGGAAAGGCCCUGCUUUUGUGGGGUGCUCGAGUGGCGAACGGGUGGGUAACACGUGAGUAACCUGCCCUUGACUUUGGGAUAACUUCAGGAAACUGGGGCUAAUACCGGAUAGGAGCUCCUGCUGCAUGGUGGGGGUUGGAAAGUUUCGGCGGUUGGGGAUGGACUCGCGGCUUAUCAGCUUGUUGGUGGGGUAGUGGCUUACCAAGGCUUUGACGGGUAGCCGGCCUGAGAGGGUGACCGGCCACAUUGGGACUGAGAUACGGCCCAGACUCCUACGGGAGGCAGCAGUGGGGAAUAUUGCACAAUGGGCGGAAGCCUGAUGCAGCAACGCCGCGUGCGGGAUGACGGCCUUCGGGUUGUAAACCGCUUUCGCCUGUGACGAAGCGUGAGUGACGGUAAUGGGUAAAGAAGCACCGGCUAACUACGUGCCAGCAGCCGCGGUGAUACGUAGGGUGCGAGCGUUGUCCGGAUUUAUUGGGCGUAAAGGGCUCGUAGGUGGUUGAUCGCGUCGGAAGUGUAAUCUUGGGGCUUAACCCUGAGCGUGCUUUCGAUACGGGUUGACUUGAGGAAGGUAGGGGAGAAUGGAAUUCCUGGUGGAGCGGUGGAAUGCGCAGAUAUCAGGAGGAACACCAGUGGCGAAGGCGGUUCUCUGGGCCUUUCCUGACGCUGAGGAGCGAAAGCGUGGGGAGCGAACAGGCUUAGAUACCCUGGUAGUCCACGCUGUAAACGGUGGGUACUAGGUGUGGGGUCCAUUCCACGGGUUCCGUGCCGUAGCUAACGCUUUAAGUACCCCGCCUGGGGAGUACGGCCGCAAGGCUAAAACUCAAAGGAAUUGACGGGGCCCCGCACAAGCGGCGGAGCAUGCGGAUUAAUUCGAUGCAACGCGUAGAACCUUACCUGGGUUUGACAUGGAUCGGGAGUGCUCAGAGAUGGGUGUGCCUCUUUUGGGGUCGGUUCACAGGUGGUGCAUGGCUGUCGUCAGCUCGUGUCGUGAGAUGUUGGGUUAAGUCCCGCAACGAGCGCAACCCUUGUUCACUGUUGCCAGCACGUUAUGGUGGGGACUCAGUGGAGACCGCCGGGGUCAACUCGGAGGAAGGUGGGGAUGACGUCAAGUCAUCAUGCCCCUUAUGUCCAGGGCUUCACGCAUGCUACAAUGGCUGGUACAGAGAGUGGCGAGCCUGUGAGGGUGAGCGAAUCUCGGAAAGCCGGUCUCAGUUCGGAUUGGGGUCUGCAACUCGACCUCAUGAAGUCGGAGUCGCUAGUAAUCGCAGAUCAGCAACGCUGCGGUGAAUACGUUCCCGGGGCUUGUACACACCGCCCGUCAAGUCAUGAAAGUUGGUAACACCCGAAGCCGGUGGCCUAACCGAUGUGGGGGAGCCGUCGAAGGUGGGACUGGUGAUU
Molecule: ribosomal RNA, 1430 nt
Filed under: uncultured organism
Description: 16S ribosomal RNA
Rfam family: Bacterial small subunit ribosomal RNA
Source: RNAcentral